Molecule: ribosomal RNA, 253 nt
Filed under: uncultured bacterium
Lineage: Bacteria
Description: partial 16S ribosomal RNA
Rfam family: Bacterial small subunit ribosomal RNA
Source: RNAcentral
UACGUGAGCCCCGAGCGUUAUCCGGAAUUACUGGGCGUAAAGCGUGCGUAGGUGGUUUACUAAGUCAGGUGUGAAAUCCCCGGGCUCAACCUGGGAACUGCGCUUGAUACUGGUAAACUAGAGUUUAGUAGAGGGAAGUGGAAUUCCACGUGUAGCGGUGAAAUGCGUAGAUAUGUGGAGGAACACCAGUGGCGAAGGCGGCUUCCUGGACUAAAACUGACACUGAGGCACGAAAGCGUGGGUAGCAAACAGG